RNAcentral lists this ribosomal RNA (406 nucleotides) under uncultured bacterium. RNAcentral's name for it is "partial 16S ribosomal RNA". It matches the Rfam family "Bacterial small subunit ribosomal RNA", at positions 30 to 526 of the family's 1533-position model. The record is from RNAcentral.
AUUGAACGCUGGCGGCAGGCCUAACACAUGCAAGUCGAGCGAGCGGCGGACGGGUGAGUAAUGUCUGGGAAACUGCCUGAUGGAGGGGGAUAACUACUGGAAACGGUAGCUAAUACCGCAUACCAUCAGAUGUGCCCAGAUGGGAUUAGCUAGUAGGUGGGGUAAUGGCUCACCUAGGCGACGAUCCCUAGCUGGUCUGAGAGGAUGACCAGCAACACUGGAACUAAGAAACGGUCCAGCGUCCUACGGGAGGCAGCAGGGGGGAAUAUUGCACAAUGGGCGCAAGCCUGAUGCAGCCAUGCGGGGGGUGUGAAGAAGGCUUUCGGGUUGUAAAGCACUUUCAGCGAGGGGGCGUUACUCGCAGAAGAAGCACCGGCAAACUCCGUGCCAGCAGCCGCGGUAAUUC